This 492-nucleotide ribosomal RNA is filed under the name uncultured bacterium. Its description in RNAcentral is "partial 16S ribosomal RNA". It matches the Rfam family "Bacterial small subunit ribosomal RNA", at positions 29 to 507 of the family's 1533-position model. The record is from RNAcentral.
AUUGAACGCUGGCGGCAUGCUUUACACAUGCAAGUCGAGCGGUAACAGGCCUUCGGGUGCUGACGAGUGGCGAACGGGUGAGUAAUGCAUCGGAACGUACCCAGAGGUGGGGGAUAACGCAGCGAAAGCUGUGCUAAUACCGCAUGUGAUCUGAGGAUGAAAGCGGGGGACCGAGCAGCAAUGUUUGGCCUCGCGCCUUUGGAGCGGCCGAUGUCGGAUUAGCUAGUUGGUGGGGUAAGGGCCUACCAAGGCGACGAUCCGUAGCUGGUCUGAGAGGACGACCAGCCACACUGGGACUGAGACACGGCCCAGACUCCUACGGGAGGCAGCAGUGGGGAAUUUUGGACAAUGGGCGCAAGCCUGAUCCAGCAAUGCCGCGUGCGGGAAGAAGGCCUUCGGGUUGUAAACCGCUUUUGGCAGGAACGAAACGGUGUCCGCUAAUACCGGGCGCUAAUGACGGUACCUGCAGAAUAAGCACCGGCUAACUACGUG